RNAcentral lists this ribosomal RNA (1383 nucleotides) under human gut metagenome. RNAcentral describes it as "bacterial LSU rRNA". It matches the Rfam family "Bacterial large subunit ribosomal RNA", at positions 1098 to 2495 of the family's 2925-position model. The record is from RNAcentral.
AGGUUGGCUCAGAAGCAGCCAUCCUUUAAAGAGUGCGUAACAGCUCACUAGUCGAGUGACCCUGCGCCGAAAAUGUACCGGGGCUAAGCCUGAUACCGAAACUGCGGAUUGUAGGAAACUAUAGUGGUAGGGGAGCGUUGUAUACGAGCAGAAGCCGUACCGUGAGGAGCGGUGGAUUGUAUAGAAGUGAGAAUGCCGGUGUGAGUAGCGAGAUGUAGGUGAGAAUCCUACACACCGAAAGCCCAAGGAUUCCAGGGGAAGGUUCGUCCGCCCUGGGUAAGUCGGGACCUAACGCGAGGCCGAAAGGCGUAGUGGAUGGAAAGCAGGCGAAAGAUUCCUGCACCCGUAUAUGGAGCGAAGGAGUGACGGAGACGGAUAGUGUGACCCUCUUAAUGGAUUGAGGGCGAAGCGAAGCGGCUGGUUACCAGGCAAAUCCGGUAACCAAAAGGCUAGAGCGUGACAGGUAAGCGAAAUCUUAGGAAAGUAGCGAAGCACAUGAUGACGGCUUCCAGGAAAAGCUUCUGGCAAUGCAUAUGCGGCCCGUACCAAAACCGACACAGGUGGGCAGGGAGAGAAUCCCGAGGUGAGCGAGAGAACUGUUGCCAAGGAACUCGGCAAAAUGACUCCGUAAGUUAGCGAGAAGGAGUGCUUAAGCAAUUAAGCCGCAGUGAAGAGGCCCAAGCGACUGUUUAACUAAAACACAGCUCUCUGCGAAGUCGCAAGACGAAGUAUAGGGGGUGACACCUGCCCGGUGCUGGAAGGUUAAGAGGAUCUGUUAAGAGCGAUCUGAAGCAGUGAUCCGAAGCCCCAGUGAACGGCGGCCGUAACUAUAACGGUCCUAAGGUAGCGAAAUUCCUUGUCAGGUAAGUUCUGACCCGCACGAAAGGUGUAACGAUUUGGGCGCUGUCUCGGCAGCAGACUCGGUGAAAUCUUAGUACCUGUGAAAAUGCAGGUUACCCGCAACUAGACGGAAAGACCCCAUGGAGCUUUACUGCAGCCUGAUAUUGAAUUCUGGUCAUACAUGUACAGGAUAGGUGGGAGACAAAGAGACGUGCACGCCAGUGUACGAGGAGUCGACGUUGGGAUACCACUCUUGUGUGACCGGGGUUCUAACCUGGUAUCGAGAACAGGUACGGGGAGAGUGUCAGGUGGGCAGUUUGACUGGGGCGGUCGCCUCCCAAAGAGUAACGGAGGCGCCCAAAGGUACGCUCAGAUUGGAUGGAAACCAAUCGUCGAGUGCAAUUGCAGAAGCGUGCUUGACUGUGAGACAAACAAGUCGAACAGGGACGAAAGUCGGGAAUAGUGAUCCGGCGGUGCCGAAUGGAAGGGCCGUCGCUCAACGGAUAAAAGCUACCCUGGGGAUAACAGGCUGAUCUCCCCCAA